Capsicum annuum is the source of this 648-nucleotide long non-coding RNA. RefSeq lists it as uncharacterized. The transcript is spliced from 2 exons. The record is from RefSeq and is a predicted model, not a curated record. Lineage: Eukaryota; Viridiplantae; Streptophyta; Magnoliopsida; Solanales; Solanaceae.
UUAUUUGAUCCUUGGCCGGCAUCCACAACCCUCUUCAUCCUCUUCCUCUUUAUCUCUAGAUCCAUCACCAGAAAAUAAACUGGAAGCAUUUUGCAAAUACCUUUAUCAUCCUUUCUAAGGAGAAAAUAGUUUAUCUGAUUCUUAGUCACCAUACUAUGAAAUGUUACUAAUUGCUCCAGCUUCUUAGGGAAUCUUGAAUUAGCUACUAUCAGAACAAAAGCUUUGGAGAAUCCCAAAGGACUGUGGCGUCUUUGUUGCUGCUUAUGCAGAAAUAUUAAGUGAAGGACAGCAAGUGCAUUCAUGCGUGUUUGAUGCUGGAAGUCAACGUUUACGCUAUGCUUCAUUACUGUGGCAUUACAGAGUAGAAAAGACAAAUGAAGGGUACACGAGUGAUAAUGGUGAUCCUCCUCGGCCAAGGAAUAGUGUACUCCAAGAAAUUGAUGAAAGUGCAAUUGUUAUUUUAGAGUAGCAUUAUUUAAUAAAAGUCGAAAUUGAAUCAACUAAAUCUUAAUUUUGUGGUUGAUGUUAAACGAAUUCAAAGAUUACUUUCUGGAUGUUAAAUUUACAUUUAUGGAUGUCUUCGUCUUAUGAGAAUAUGUUUUUUAGUCACUGAGACACUACUGCAAUGUUACUAACUGAUUCAUGGUA